RNAcentral lists this ribosomal RNA (581 nucleotides) under [Candida] sp. UFMG-XMD-16.4. Its description in RNAcentral is "LSU rRNA". It matches the Rfam family "Eukaryotic large subunit ribosomal RNA", at positions 54 to 651 of the family's 3401-position model. The record is from RNAcentral. Lineage: Eukaryota; Fungi; Ascomycota; Saccharomycetes; Saccharomycetales.
AGGAAAAGAAACCAACAGGGAUUGCCUCAGUAACGGCGAGUGAAGCGGCAAAAGCUCAAAUUUGAAAUCUAGUACCUUCGGUGCUCGAGUUGUAAUUUGAAGAUAGUUUUCUGGUGCUGGCCCUUGUCUAUGUUCCUUGGAACAGGACGUCAUAGAGGGUGAGAAUCCCGUCUGAUGGGGUGUCCAGUGCUUUGUAGAUUUCUAUCGAAGAGUCGAGUUGUUUGGGAAUGCAGCUCUAAGUGGGUGGUAAAUUCCAUCUAAAGCUAAAUACUGGCGAGAGACCGAUAGCGAACAAGUACAGUGAUGGAAAGAUGAAAAGAACUUUGAAAAGAGAGUGAAAAAGUACGUGAAAUUGUUGAAAGGGAAGGAUAUUGGAUCAGACUUGGUGUUUUGUGAUUAUCUUCCCUUCUUGGGUUGUGCACUCGCAUUUCACUGGGCCAGCAUCGGUUCGGAUGGCAAGAUAAUGGCUUGGGAACGUGGCACCCCUCGGGGUGUGUUAUAGCCCUUGUUGAUGUUGCCUAUCUGGACCGAGGACUGCGGCUUCUGCCUAGGAUGCUGGCGUAAUGAUUCAAUAUCGCCCG